RNAcentral lists this ribosomal RNA (497 nucleotides) under uncultured bacterium. Its description in RNAcentral is "partial 16S ribosomal RNA". It matches the Rfam family "Bacterial small subunit ribosomal RNA", at positions 28 to 507 of the family's 1533-position model. The record is from RNAcentral.
GAUGAACGCUGGCGGCGUGCCUAAUACAUGCAAGUCGAGCGAACGGACGAGAAGCUUGCUUUUCUGAUGUUAGCGGCGGACGGGUGAGUAACACGUGGAUAACCUACCUAUAAGACUGGGAUAACUUCGGGAAACCGGAGCUAAUACCGGAUAAUAUUUUGAACCGCAUGGUUCAAAAGUGAAAGACGGUCUUGCUGUCACUUAUAGAUGGAUCCGCGCUGCAUUAGCUAGUUGGUAAGGUAACGGCUUACCAAGGCAACGAUGCAUAGCCGACCUGAGAGGGUGAUCGGCCACACUGGAGCUGAGACACGGUCCAGACUCCUACGGGAGGCAGCAGUAGGGAAUCUUCCGCAAUGGGCGAAAGCCUGACGGAGCAACGCCGCGUGAGUGAUGAAGGUCUUCGGAUCGUAAAACUCUGUUAUUAGGGAAGAACAUAUGUGUAAGUAACUGUGCGCAUCUUGACGGUACCUAAUCAGAAAGCCACGGCUAACUACGUG